UUCUACAGCCAGAGAGGUGAGAAGUCACACAUGGUUUAGAUGGUAAAUAUUUAUGUCCCCUUAGCGGUUCAACACAUAAGCAAAAGGGAAUAUGUUCUAUCAUCUAUGUUUAUUUAAAAUAGUGCAAAUUGUCCACUGAUAUUGGUGUAAUUUCUCACCCCUUUUGGCUGUAUGAAAGUUAAUUCUCUCAGUCACACACAUUUGUUAUUUGAUAUUAUGAAGGUAAUUUGUGUAAAAUGUACUUUUCCCCAUCUCUUUAUAUUGCUGAUGCAUAUUCGGUGGCCUGACUGCAUCCAGACAAUGUCAAAAGCCCAUCCUGGUAGAUCUGAACCGAAUGCAGCUUGGAGUGAUCGGAUGACAGACGUCACAUUUAGGGGCAGUCAAAAGCAGAGCUGUGGGAGACCACCUCAAUCCCCUGGUAGAGCCGGAGGUGGUAUUUACCACUCCACCACACCUGCAGCAGGCUUGAAACGUGGGAUUGAUACUGAUUUUCAUACUAAGAGGGACCAAGAGUCUGUUGAUUGGUCAGUCAUUGGGUUCAUUUGUUGAAAUCAAAUCCAGCUUUAUUUAUACAGCACAUUUCAGACAUGGAUGCAACACAAUGGCUUCACAGGAAAAAACAAGUAAAGUAAUGAAAAGAAACAAAUAUUUAGUACACAACAGAAGACUAACAACUGAAAGACCAAUGGGCACCCCAAGGAAAUGCCAUGGAUUAAAAUAUUAAUUGAAUGCAAUAUCUAACCCAAAAUACAAGCUUGUUGUUUUUUUAGGAGGGGCUCUGAAAGACUAUGGGAGUGUCCACUGAAACUUGACAACAACAACUGGGACCCGAAAAGACACCCACUAAAUCUGUCCAUGAAGAGGCAAACAAAAGAAAAACCCACAACAAACUUAAAGAC
Oncorhynchus kisutch (coho salmon) is the source of this 899-nucleotide long non-coding RNA. RefSeq lists it as uncharacterized. The record is from RefSeq and is a predicted model, not a curated record. Lineage: Eukaryota; Metazoa; Chordata; Actinopteri; Salmoniformes; Salmonidae. The transcript has 2 exons.